This 81-nucleotide antisense RNA is filed under the name Candidatus Oceanisphaera merdipullorum. RNAcentral describes it as "antisense RNA of dnaA mRNA". It matches the Rfam family "antisense RNA of dnaA mRNA". Lineage: Bacteria; Pseudomonadati; Pseudomonadota; Gammaproteobacteria; Aeromonadales; Aeromonadaceae. The record is from RNAcentral.
UUUGGCAUCGGCCUUGCGUGCUCGUAUGCCGUUGGCCACGGCGUGCAACAGGUGCGUCUUACCCAAGCCGGUGCCGCCAUA